UUAACAGAGACCAACGGGGGCAUUCGUACCGCUGCGUGAGAGGUGAAAUUCUGGACCGCAGCGAGACGAACUACAGCGAAAGCAUUUGCCAAGAAGGUCUUCAUUAAUCAAGAACGAAAGUCAGAGGUUCGAAGGCGAUCAGAUACCGCCCUAGUUCUGACCGUAAACGAUGCCAACUAGCGAUCUGCCGGCGGAAUUUUCGCCCUGGUAGGGAGCUUCCCGGAAACGAAAGUCUUCCGGUUCCGGGGGAAGUAUGGUUGCAAAGCUGAAACUUAAAGGAAUUGACGGAAGGGCACCACCAGGAGUGGAGCCUGCGGCUUAAUUUGACUCAACACGGGGAAACUCACCCGGCCCGGACACCAUAAGGAUUGACAGAUUGAUAGCUUUUUCAUGAUUUGGUGGAUGGUGGUGCAUGGCCGUUCUUAGUUCGUGGAGCGAUUUGUCUGGUUUAUUCCGAUAACGAGCGAGACUCUAGCCUACUAAAUAGUCUGCACAUUGCUAUUGUGAUGCAGUACUUCUUAGAGGGAUUUUCGGUGUACAGCCGCACGAGAUUGAGCAAUAACAGGUCUGUGAUGCCCUUAGAUGUCCGGGGCUGCACGCGCGCUACACUGGCGAAAUCAGCGUGCUUGUCCUUGCUCGAAAGAGCUUGGUAAACCAAUGAAAAUUUGCCGUGAUUGGGAUCGGAAAUUGCAAUUAUUUUCCGUGAACGAGGAAUUCCAAGUAAAUGCGAGUCAUCAACUCGCGUUGAUUACGUCCCUGCCCUUUGUACACACCGCCCGUCGCUGCCCGGGACUGAGCCAUUUCGAGAAAUUUGGGGAUUGCUGAUUAGCGGUCUUUCGGGAUUGCUUUUUGGUGAGAACCAAUUUAAUCGCAGUGGCUUGAACCGGGCAAAAGUCGUA
RNAcentral lists this ribosomal RNA (899 nucleotides) under Subanguina radicicola. RNAcentral describes it as "SSU rRNA". It matches the Rfam family "Eukaryotic small subunit ribosomal RNA", at positions 869 to 1793 of the family's 1831-position model. The record is from RNAcentral. Lineage: Eukaryota; Metazoa; Nematoda; Chromadorea; Rhabditida; Anguinidae.